RNAcentral lists this ribosomal RNA (253 nucleotides) under uncultured bacterium. RNAcentral describes it as "partial 16S ribosomal RNA". It matches the Rfam family "Bacterial small subunit ribosomal RNA", at positions 524 to 776 of the family's 1533-position model. The record is from RNAcentral.
UACAGAGGGUGCAAGCGUUGUUCGGAAUUAUUGGGCGUAAAGCGCGUGUAGGCGGCUUUGCAAGUCGGGUGUGAAAUCCCUCAGCUCAACUGAGGAAGUGCGCCCGAAACUGCAGAGCUUGAGUACCGGAGAGGAUGGCGGAAUUCACGGUGUAGCGGUGAAAUGCGUAGAUAUCUGGAGGAACACCGGUGGCGAAGGCGGCAUCCUGGACCAAUACUGACACUGAGGAGCGAAAGCCGGGGGAGCAAACGGG